ACUCAAAUGAAUUGACGGGGGCUCACACAAGCGGUGGAGCAUGUGGCUUAAUUCGAGGCUACGCGAAGAACCUUAUCCUGGGCUUGACAUGUCCGAAAGGGGCAAGAAGUAGGGGACGGAAACGCACCCCCAACGGUAUCCAAUCCGGAACUUGCCACAGGUGCUGCAUGGCUGUCGUCAGCUCGUGUCGUGAGAUGUUGGGUUAAGUCCCGUAACGAGCGAAACCCUUGUUUCCAGUUGCCAGCGGGUUAUGCCGGGGACUCUGGAAAGACUGCCGGUGUCAAACCGGAGGAAGGUGGGGAUGACGUCAAGUCCUCAUGGCCUUUAUGCCCAGGGCUGCACACGUGCUACAAUGGCACGCACAAAGGGAUGCCAACCCGCGAGGGGGAGCAAAUCCCAAAAAACGUGCCCCAGUUCAGAUUGCAGGCUGCAACUCGCCUGCAUGAAGUUGGAAUCGCUAGUAAUCGCGGGUCAGCAACACCGCGGUGAAUGUGUUCCUGAGCCUUGCACACACCGCCCGU
RNAcentral lists this ribosomal RNA (521 nucleotides) under uncultured bacterium. RNAcentral's name for it is "partial 16S ribosomal RNA". It matches the Rfam family "Bacterial small subunit ribosomal RNA", at positions 899 to 1397 of the family's 1533-position model. The record is from RNAcentral.